AUGCCAGCCGAUGUGCUGCCGGGAGCACGCAACCUGUUUGACGGAAUGCCGGCCUCCGACGACGACGACUACAUGCAAAACAUCAUCUUCGAGGGUGGUGUGGCGGCCGCUGGCGGUGCCGCCGGGGCCGGCUACAAUCCCGAAGAGACACAAAACCAGGACGGCCGAGGGGCGUUCACGCCGUCCACCAUUGAUCAAGAUCAGGUGGCCUUCAUGCAUGAUCAGGUCGGCCUGGACCUGGAUGGCUUCCCACUCGACCACGAGUUUUCGGAGGACUACGGGCAAGAGGAAGAGGAUGAGUGCCACAUCGAAGGGGGGCCUUUGUUCGAGGACGAGCUCGCCAACUAA
This 348-nucleotide ribosomal RNA is filed under the name Triticum aestivum (bread wheat). RNAcentral's name for it is "partial small subunit ribosomal RNA". Lineage: Eukaryota; Viridiplantae; Streptophyta; Magnoliopsida; Poales; Poaceae. The record is from RNAcentral.